UACGUAGGGAGCAAGCGUUGUCCGGAAUCACUGGGCGUAAAGGGAGCGUAGGUGGUUAUAUAAGUCUUUAGUAAAAGGCAUGGGCUUAACCGAUGUAAGCUAGAGAAACUAUAUAACUUGAGUGCAGUAGAGGUAAGCGGAAUUCCUAGUGUAGCGGUGAAAUGCGUAGAUAUUAGGAGGAACACCAGUGGCGAAGGCGGCUUACUGGGCUGUAACUGACACUGAGGCUC
This 230-nucleotide ribosomal RNA is filed under the name uncultured microorganism. RNAcentral describes it as "partial 16S ribosomal RNA". It matches the Rfam family "Bacterial small subunit ribosomal RNA", at positions 524 to 754 of the family's 1533-position model. The record is from RNAcentral.